This 121-nucleotide microRNA precursor is filed under the name Cavia porcellus (domestic guinea pig). RNAcentral describes it as "miRNA (ENSCPOG00000040418.1)". Lineage: Eukaryota; Metazoa; Chordata; Mammalia; Rodentia; Caviidae. The record is from RNAcentral.
GGUCUCUCUAUGUAGUUCAGGCUGGCCUUGAGCUCACUUUGUAGCCCAGGCUGGUCUUGAACUCGAAACAAUCCUCCUGCCUCAGCCUCCCGAGUGUUGGGAUUACAGGCAUGAGCCACCA